UACGUAGGGGGCAAGCGUUGUUCGGAAUUACUGGGCGUAAAGGGCGCGUAGGCGGCACGGCAAGUCAGGAGUGAAAGGCCUGGGCUCAACCUGGGAAUUGCUUUUGAAACUGCCGAGCUAGAGUGCGGAAGGGGCAACUGGAAUUCCCAGUGUAGCGGUGAAAUGCGUAGAUAUCGGGAGGAACACCUGUGGCGAAAGCGGCGCACUGGACCAUAACUGACGCUGAGGCGCGAAAGCUAGGGGAGCAAACAGG
This 253-nucleotide ribosomal RNA is filed under the name uncultured prokaryote. RNAcentral describes it as "partial 16S ribosomal RNA". It matches the Rfam family "Bacterial small subunit ribosomal RNA", at positions 524 to 776 of the family's 1533-position model. The record is from RNAcentral.